This 465-nucleotide ribosomal RNA is filed under the name uncultured bacterium. RNAcentral describes it as "partial 16S ribosomal RNA". It matches the Rfam family "Bacterial small subunit ribosomal RNA", at positions 28 to 507 of the family's 1533-position model. The record is from RNAcentral.
GACGAACGCUGGCGGCGUGCUUAACACAUGCAAGUCGAACGGAAAGGCCCCUUUGGGGGUACUCGAGUGGCGAACGGGUGAGUAACACGUGAGUAACCUGCCCUUGACUUCGGGAUAACUUCAGGAAACUGGGGCUAAUACCGGAUAGGAAUCCUUGCUGCAUGGUGGGGGUUGGAAAGCUUCGGCGGUUUUGGAUGGACUCGCGGCUUAUCAGCUUGUUGGUGGGGUAGUGGCUUACCAAGGCUUUGACGGGUAGCCGGCCUGAGAGGGCGACCGGCCACAUUGGGACUGAGAUACGGUCCAGACUCCUACGGGAGGCAGCAGUGGGGAAUAUUGCACAAUGGGCGGAAGCCUGAUGCAGCAACGCCGCGUGCGGGAUGACGGCCUUCGGGUUGUAAACCGCUUUCAGCAGGGGCGAAGCUUGUGGUGACGGUACCUGCAGAAGAAGCACCGGCUAACUACGUG